Molecule: ribosomal RNA, 385 nt
Filed under: uncultured bacterium
Lineage: Bacteria
Description: bacterial SSU rRNA
Rfam family: Bacterial small subunit ribosomal RNA
Source: RNAcentral
UGGGGAAUAUUGGACAAUGGGCGCAAGCCUGAUCCAGCAAUGCCGCGUGUGUGAAGAAGGCCUUCGGGUUGUAAAGCACUUUUGUUAGGGAGGAAAGUCUGGUAGCUAAUAACUGCUAGAUCUGACGUUACCUAAAGAAUCAGCACCGGCUAACUCUGUGCCAGCAGCCGCGGUAAUACAGAGGGUGCAAGCGUUAAUCGGAAUUACUGGGCGUAAAGGGUCUGUAGGCGGAUUAUUAAGUCGGAUGUGAAAUCCCCGGGCUCAACCUGGGAACGGCAUUCGAUACUGGUAGUCUAGAGUGUGCAAGAGGAUGGGGGAAUUCCUGGUGUAGCAGUGAAAUGCGUAGAGAUCAGGAGGAACAUCAAUGGCGAAGGCACCUUUCUGG